RNAcentral lists this ribosomal RNA (439 nucleotides) under uncultured Escherichia sp. RNAcentral describes it as "bacterial SSU rRNA". It matches the Rfam family "Bacterial small subunit ribosomal RNA", at positions 30 to 463 of the family's 1533-position model. The record is from RNAcentral. Lineage: Bacteria; Pseudomonadati; Pseudomonadota; Gammaproteobacteria; Enterobacterales; Enterobacteriaceae.
AUUGAACGCUGGCGGCAGGCCUAACACAUGCAAGUCGAACGGUAACAGGAAACAGCUUGCUGUUUCGCUGACGAGUGGCGGACGGGUGAGUAAUGUCUGGGAAACUGCCUGAUGGAGGGGGAUAACUACUGGAAACGGUAGCUAAUACCGCAUAACGUCGCAAGACCAAAGAGGGGGACCUUCGGGCCUCUUGCCAUCGGAUGUGCCCAGAUGGGAUUAGCUAGUAGGUGGGGUAACGGCUCACCUAGGCGACGAUCCCUAGCUGGUCUGAGAGGAUGACCAGCCACACUGGAACUGAGACACGGUCCAGACUCCUACGGGAGGCAGCAGUGGGGAAUAUUGCACAAUGGGCGCAAGCCUGAUGCAGCCAUGCCGCGUGUAUGAAGAAGGCCUUCGGGUUGUAAAGUACUUUCGGCGGGGAGGAAGGGAGUAAAGUUAA